RNAcentral lists this ribosomal RNA (700 nucleotides) under uncultured rumen bacterium. RNAcentral describes it as "bacterial SSU rRNA". It matches the Rfam family "Bacterial small subunit ribosomal RNA", at positions 172 to 874 of the family's 1533-position model. The record is from RNAcentral.
CAUAACACUCUGGGCGGCAUCGUCCGGAGUUGAAACUUACGAGGGUGACGGAUUGGCUCGCGAGACAUUAGCUAGUCGGCGGGGUAACGGCCCACCGAGGCAACGAUGUCUAGGGGUUCUGAGAGGAAGGUCCCCCACACUGGAACUGAGACACGGUCCAGACUCCUACGGGAGGCAGCAGUGAGGAAUAUUGGACAAUGGCCGGAAGGCUGAUCCAGCCAUGCCGCGUGAAGGAUGAAGGUCCUAUGGAUUGUAAACUUCUUUUGUACGGGAGCAAUAAGGGCGUCGUGACGUCCGAUGAGAGUACCGUACGAAUAAGCAUCGGCUAACUCCGUGCCAGCAGCCGCGGUAAUACGGAGGAUGCGAGCGUUAUCCGGAUUCAUUGGGUUUAAAGGGUGCGUAGGCGGCUGUUCAAGUCAGCGGUGAAAUGCAAGGGCCUAACCCUUGACGUGCCGUUGAAACUGAGUGGCUAGAAUGCGGAUGCUGUGGGAGGAAUGUGUAGUGUAGCGGUGAAAUGCAUAGAUAUUACACAGAACACCGAUUGCGAAGGCAUCUCACAAAUCCGCUAUUGACGCUGAGGCACGAAAGUGCGGGGAUCAAACAGGAUUAGAUACCCUGGUAGUCCGCACAGUAAACGAUGAUAACUCGCUGUCGGCGAUAGACAGUCGGUGGCCAAGCGAAAGCGAUAAGUUAUCCACCU